UCCCCGGCGACGGGGAAUCUGAAGGAAGCCGGCGGCAAACUUCCGGUCUGACGAACAGAAAUCACAUCAGGCAUUAUCAACUGGGUAAGGUUGCUAAGCAAACCAAAGCCCUAAAACUACCCGGAAGUUGAUGGUGUAAAUGUGGCAGAUAGAUGGAAGGAAAGAUUGCGUU
This is a non-coding RNA of Acetobacterium wieringae, 172 nucleotides long. Lineage: Bacteria; Bacillati; Bacillota; Clostridia; Eubacteriales; Eubacteriaceae. The record is from Rfam.